RNAcentral lists this microRNA precursor (168 nucleotides) under Pelobates cultripes (western spadefoot toad). The record is from RNAcentral. Lineage: Eukaryota; Metazoa; Chordata; Amphibia; Anura; Pelobatidae.
GCAGACACAUUCCAGCCAAUCAGCAGCAGACCCUCCCUCCCAGACCCUCCCACCUCCUGGACAGCAUCCAUUUUAAAUUCGUUGUGAAGCUGCAUUCUUAGUGAGCUGUCCAGGAGGUGGGAGAGUCUGGGAGGGAGGGUCUUCUGCUUAUUGGCUGGAAUGUGUCUG